AUGAACGCUGGCGGCGUGUUUUAGGCAUGCAAGUCGAGUGGUGCCGCAAGGUAACCACGGCAAACGGGUGAGUAACACGUGGACAACGUACCCCGAAGUGGAGCAUAACCAGUCGAAAGAUUGGAUAAUACUCCAUGUGCUCGUUGAACUUCUGUUUAACGAGUAAAGAUUUAUCGCUUCGGGAGCGGUCUGCGCCCCAUCAGCUUGUUGGUAAGGUAACGGCUUACCAAGGCUCCGACGGGUACCGGGUGUGAGAGCACGACCCGGCUCACUGGGACUGAGACACUGCCCAGACUCCUACGGGAGGCUGCAGUUAAGAAUCUUCGGCAAUGCGCGAAAGCGUGACCGAGCGACGCCGCGUGUAGGAAGAAGCCCUUCGGGGUGUAAACUACUUUUCUCAGGGAAGAAUUUUUGACUGUACCUGAGGAAUAAGGGGCUGCUAACUCUGU
RNAcentral lists this ribosomal RNA (449 nucleotides) under uncultured bacterium. RNAcentral describes it as "bacterial SSU rRNA". It matches the Rfam family "Bacterial small subunit ribosomal RNA", at positions 29 to 506 of the family's 1533-position model. The record is from RNAcentral.